GUACUCACUUCCGCAGCACAUGUACUAUAACUGGAACAGUACACAGAAGGUGAGCAUGUGCAAGGAUGAAGUGCAAAUCCCUAAGUGUUCCAUAUUUAU
Small nuclear RNA from Fukomys damarensis (Damara mole-rat), 99 nucleotides. The record is from Ensembl. Lineage: Eukaryota; Metazoa; Chordata; Mammalia; Rodentia; Bathyergidae.